GUGCGUGAGAGCAACUGUUCACGCAGUGACGGUAUCUAACCAGAAAGUCACGGCUAACUACGUGCCAGCAGCCGCGGUAAUACGUAGGUGGCAAGCGUUAUCCGGAUUUAUUGGGCGUAAAGCGAGCGCAGGCGGUUUGAUAAGUCUGAUGUGAAAGCCUUUGGCUUAACCAAAGAAGUGCAUCGGAAACUGUCAGACUUGAGUGCAGAAGAGGACAGUGGAACUCCAUGUGUAGCGGUGGAAUGCGUAGAUAUAUGGAAGAACACCAGUGGCGAAGGCGGCUGUCUGGUCUGCAACUGACGCUGAGGCUCGAAAGCAUGGGUAGCGAACAGGAUUAGAUACCCUGGUAGUCCAUGCCGUAAACGAUGAGUGCUAGGUGUUGGAGGGUUUCCGCCCUUCAGUGCCGCAGCUAACGCAUUAAGCACUCCGCCUGGGGAGUACGACCGCAAGGUUGAAACUCAAAGGAAUUGACGGGGGCCCGCACAAGCGGUGGAGCAUGUGGUUUAAUUCGAAGCUACGCGAAGAACCUUACCAGGUCUUGACAUCUUGCGCCAACCCUAGAGAUAGGGCGUUUCCUUCGGGAACGCAAUGACAGGUGGUGCAUGGUCGUCGUCAGCUCGUGUCGUGAGAUGUUGGGUUAAGUCCCGCAACGAGCGCAACCCUUGUUACUAGUUGCCAGCAUUCAGUUGGGCACUCUAGUGAGACUGCCGGUGACAAACCGGAGGAAGGUGGGGACGACGUCAGAUCAUCAUGCCCCUUAUGACCUGGGCUACACACGUGCUACAAUGGACGGUACAACGAGUCGCGAACUCGCGAGGGCAAGCUAAUCUCUUAAAACCGUUCUCAGUUCGGACUGCAGGCUGCAACUCGCCUGCACGAAGUCGGAAUCGCUAGUAAUCGCGGAUCAGCAUGCCGCGGUGAAUACGUUCCCGGGCCUUGUACACACCGCCCGUCACACCAUGAGAGUUUGCAACACCCAAAGUCGGUGGGGUAACC
RNAcentral lists this ribosomal RNA (996 nucleotides) under Limosilactobacillus mucosae. Its description in RNAcentral is "bacterial SSU rRNA". It matches the Rfam family "Bacterial small subunit ribosomal RNA", at positions 451 to 1440 of the family's 1533-position model. The record is from RNAcentral. Lineage: Bacteria; Bacillati; Bacillota; Bacilli; Lactobacillales; Lactobacillaceae.